AGAUUGAACGCUGGCGGCAUGCCUAACACAUGCAAGUCGAACGGGAGUAGCAAUACUCUAGUGGCGGACGGGUGAGGAAUACGUAGGAAUUUGCCCUUAAGUGGGGGAUAACCCGGGGAAACCCGGAUUAAUACCGCAUGACCUCGAAAGAGCAAAGUGGGGGAUCGCAAGACCUCACGCUUUUGGAGAAGCCUACGUCGGAUUAGCUAGUUGGUGAGGUAAUGGCUCACCAAGGCGACGAUCCGUAACUGGUCUGAGAGGAUGAUCAGUCACACCGGAACUGAGACACGGUCCGACUCCACGGGAG
Molecule: ribosomal RNA, 307 nt
Filed under: uncultured soil bacterium
Lineage: Bacteria
Description: bacterial SSU rRNA
Rfam family: Bacterial small subunit ribosomal RNA
Source: RNAcentral